Molecule: ribosomal RNA, 478 nt
Filed under: uncultured bacterium
Lineage: Bacteria
Description: partial 16S ribosomal RNA
Rfam family: Bacterial small subunit ribosomal RNA
Source: RNAcentral
GACGAACGCUGGCGGCGUGCUUAACACAUGCAAGUCGAACGGUAAGGCCCUUCGGGGUACACGAGUGGCGAACGGGUGAGUAACGCGUGGGUGACCUGCCCUGCACUUCGGGAUAAGCCUGGGAAACUGGGUCUAAUACCGGAUAGGACCCUGGGAUGCAUGUCCUGGGGUGGAAAGCUUUUGCGGUGUGGGAUGGGCCCGCGGCCUAUCAGCUUGUUGGUGGGGUGAUGGCCUACCAAGGCGACGACGGGUAGCCGGCCUGAGAGGGUGACCGGCCACACUGGGACUGAGAUACGGCCCAGACUCCUACGGGAGGCAGCAGUGGGGAAUAUUGCACAAUGGGCGCAAGCCUGAUGCAGCGACGCCGCGUGAGGGAUGACGGCCUUCGGGUUGUAAACCUCUUUCAGCACCGACGAAGCGCAAGUGACGGUAGGUGCAGAAGAAGGACCGGCCAACUACGUGCCAGCCGCCGCAGUAA